GCCUACGGGGCGCAGCAGUGAGGAAUAUUGGUCAAUGGGCUUACGCCUGAACCAGCCAAGUCGCGUGAGGGAAGACUGCCCUAUGGGUUGUAAACCUCUUUUGUCAGGGAGCAAUUAGCGCUACGUGUAGCGUUAUCGAGAGUACCUGAAGAAAAAGCAUCGGCUAACUCCGUGCCAGCAGCCGCGGUAAUACGGAGGAUGCGAGCGUUAUCCGGAUUUAUUGGGUUUAAAGGGUGCGUAGGCGGAAUGCCAAGUCAGCGGUAAAAUCGCGGGGCUCAACCUCGCUCCGCCGUUGAAACUGGCGU
This 305-nucleotide ribosomal RNA is filed under the name uncultured bacterium. RNAcentral describes it as "bacterial SSU rRNA". It matches the Rfam family "Bacterial small subunit ribosomal RNA", at positions 337 to 639 of the family's 1533-position model. The record is from RNAcentral.